RNAcentral lists this small nuclear RNA (166 nucleotides) under Oryza punctata. Its description in RNAcentral is "U2 spliceosomal RNA". It matches the Rfam family "U2 spliceosomal RNA". Rfam says of the family: U2 is a small nuclear RNA (snRNA) component of the spliceosome (involved in pre-mRNA splicing). Complementary binding between U2 snRNA (in an area lying towards the 5' end but 3' to hairpin I) and the branchpoint sequence (BPS) of the intron results the bulging out of an unpaired adenosine, on the BPS, which initiates a nucleophilic attack at the intronic 5' splice site, thus starting the first of two transesterification reactions that mediate splicing. The record is from Rfam by way of RNAcentral. Lineage: Eukaryota; Viridiplantae; Streptophyta; Magnoliopsida; Poales; Poaceae.
AUACCUUUCUCGGCCUUUUAGCUAAGCUAAGUGUAGUAUCUGUUCUUAUCAGUUUAACUAGUAUGGUGACCCGCACAGAUUGUGCGGCUAGUAUCGUUAUAUUUUUCCCACAUAAUAGCAUAUAUAUUUUUAUAUUUUAUUAUUAAAAUAUAUAAAAAUAAUAAUA